Empidonax traillii (willow flycatcher) is the source of this 144-nucleotide long non-coding RNA. RefSeq lists it as uncharacterized. Lineage: Eukaryota; Metazoa; Chordata; Aves; Passeriformes; Tyrannidae. The record is from RefSeq and is a predicted model, not a curated record. The transcript is spliced from 2 exons.
GAGAGAGGACCUGGAAGAAUUGAGGCUGCUCAGGUUGAAUUCAGGCUGCUCAGGUUUCAUUCCUAUGGUGCAUUUGGAUUUCUGAAAUUUUCGUCACAAGGAACUCGGUCUCUUAAACUUUAUUUCUUGACCUCCUGAAGAAAU